CAACCCUUCCUAUACUA
RNAcentral lists this transfer RNA (17 nucleotides) under Lucasium stenodactylus (pale-snouted ground gecko). Its description in RNAcentral is "partial tRNA-Met". The record is from RNAcentral. Lineage: Eukaryota; Metazoa; Chordata; Lepidosauria; Squamata; Diplodactylidae.